AUGAAUUUCGUCGAUCUAAUUAUAAUAGUAUAUAAUAGUAGUAGAAAAGUAGCACCAGUGUCUAUUAGAAGAGUUGCCUCUCCCAGUAAGGGGAAGGCGCAUAAUCUUAUGAGAGUUUUGAAAGAUGAAAGGAAAGGCCAUGGAAAAGAUGAAAAAAGAGAUUGUCCCAAAAGGACAGGUAUAAGACGAAGUGGCAAAAAGAUAGAAGUAUUGCACCCUUCAAUGCCUUUUCAUGCUGAUUGGGUAGAAGAAAUUUGA
Non-coding RNA from Vicia faba (fava bean), 258 nucleotides. The record is from the annotation of a GenBank genome assembly. Lineage: Eukaryota; Viridiplantae; Streptophyta; Magnoliopsida; Fabales; Fabaceae.